Mauremys mutica (yellowpond turtle) is the source of this 824-nucleotide long non-coding RNA. RefSeq lists it as uncharacterized. Lineage: Eukaryota; Metazoa; Chordata; Testudines; Geoemydidae. The transcript is spliced from 4 exons. The record is from RefSeq and is a predicted model, not a curated record.
CAAGGAGUCCCAGUGAUGCACCAGGAUACCUACCACUGCAUAUGUCAUUACAGUUCUUGAAGAAAAAUGGACAACAAGCCUUGACUAAGCUGUGGUUAUACUUUUGUGCAACUUUCACAGGGUAGCUAUCCCCUGUGAGUAGACUGGAUUCACUGCCCCUGUAUCAGAGCAGGUGAGACCAAUCCAGACAAUUAAAAGGGGCUUGGCUACACCUGAGCCUAUAAAGGGCUAUUAGAGGCAGCAAGUGAUAGGGCUAGUUUGUAUCUGGGAAAGGGAAGCCAGGGUGGAGCUGUGAUGAGGGUCUAGAGUAAGGGCCAGGUGUUUAGGGAGGCAGCCCCAGUACAACUGCUCCAGGAAGGGACCAGAGCUGAUAAGAAUUGGGAAGGUUCCAGGAGCAGGAUGCUGGAGGCCCCUGGGAUGAGUGGCCCUGAAGCCUGAAAGCAAAGAGCAUCAAUUCCUUAAGUUCCUCAAGAUAUAUAGCUCUCCCUUGGCUGUGCAGCCCAAGAGCGAGAGGGGAGGAAGUAGAGGAAGAAACAUAGGAACAUCAGACAUGCAAUCCUGAAUGAGAUCAGAAGUCCAUCUACUCAGUAUCCUGUCUCUGACCAUGGCAAGUAUCCUAUACUUCAGAGGAAGAUGGGCUUUCACUAAUAUCUCCUGACGAAACUUCAUCCCCUUCCACAUGAUCCUUAUACCAUGGGAGCCCCCCUGGCUUCCUUAAUUGAAGUGGCAAAAGUGGAGCAAGUGCACAAGGAAGUUUCUGCACCCCUUGUGUUCUGAAGGCUUGAAAUCAGCCAACAUGGAAGGAAUGAUGGAGGUUGCAAACA